GAUGAACGCUGGCGGCGUGCCUAAUACAUGCAAGUCGAGCGAACGGACGAGAAGCUUGCUUUUCUGAUGUUAGCGGCGGACGGGUGAGUAACACGUGGAUAACCUACCUAUAAGACUGGGAUAACUUCGGGAAACCGGAGCUAAUACCGGAUAAUAUUUUGAACCGCAUGGUUCAAAAGUGAAAGACGGUCUUGCUGUCACUUAUAGAUAGAUCCGCGCUGCAUUAGCUAGUUGGUAAGGUAACGGCUUACCAAGGCAACGAUGCAUAGCCGACCUGAGAGGGUGAUCGGCCACACUGGAACUGAGACACGGUCCAGACUCCUACGGGAGGCAGCAGUAGGGAAUCUUCCGCAAUGGGCGAAAGCCUGACGGAGCAACGCCGCGUGAGUGAUGAAGGUCUUCGGAUCGUAAAACUCGGUUAUUAGGGAAGAACAUAUGUGUAAGUAACUGUGCACAUCUUGACGGUACCUAAUCAGAAAGCCACGGCUAACUACGUG
This 497-nucleotide ribosomal RNA is filed under the name uncultured bacterium. RNAcentral describes it as "partial 16S ribosomal RNA". It matches the Rfam family "Bacterial small subunit ribosomal RNA", at positions 28 to 507 of the family's 1533-position model. The record is from RNAcentral.